RNAcentral lists this ribosomal RNA (859 nucleotides) under Lazicana makvalae. RNAcentral describes it as "partial 16S ribosomal RNA". The record is from RNAcentral. Lineage: Eukaryota; Metazoa; Mollusca; Gastropoda; Stylommatophora; Hygromiidae.
GUAAUCUAAAAGAGAAAAAUAUUAUACUUCACGAAACUAGGCGAGCUAAAUUUCCUCUAUUUUAGAAGGUAAUUUUAGUGUAGCAUUACUAACACACUAUAGAAAUUUAGGGGUGAAAGGCCUUACAAGUCUAGCGAUAUCUUGAUUAUAAGGAAAUAUAUUUAGUAUAUAGACGAUCUAGUAAUGUUAAGGUUAUUAGAAAACAUAAUUUAGUAUAUUGUCUUGUUUGAAGAUGUAAAAAUUACAGAUUAGAUUUUUAAAAAAUAUACAACAACCUAAGUAUAUGUAUGAUACUUAUACAUUUUAAUAUACUAUAAAUAAAAUUGAAAAUGAUUUCAUUAGUAUUUCUAUACAUUUGAAUUAGGAACUCGGCAACUAUAUAUUUCUCGACUGUUUAACAAAAACAUGCCUUAAGUAUAUUAUUUAAGGUUUACUCUGCUCAAUGAUAUAAUUAAAUAGCCGCAGUACCUUGACUGUGCAAAGGUAGCAUAAUCAGUUGGCUUAUAAUUGAAGUCUGGUAUGAAUGGGAAUUAGGGAAUAAGCUGUCUUAUAUAAAUAUUUAGAACUUCCUUAUUAAGUGAAAAUUCUUAAAUAAAGAAAUUAGACGAGAAGACCCUAGAAAUUUUUUAGAUAAUUUAAUAAAUAAUAUUUUGUUGGGGCGACAUGGUAACAGAGUUUCUUAACUUACCAAGACUAAUUGGAAACUAUUUAGUUGAAUAAUUAUAAUUACUCUGGGAUAACAGCAUUAUUUAAUAUAAGAUUGUGACCUCGAUGUUGGACUAGGGAAUAACUUACUUAAAAGGUAAGUUUGUGGGCUCUGUUCGAGCUGGAAACCCUACAUGAUCUGAGUUCAGACCGG